GAGUUGUAUAUUGUCUCCCAUUGGAAAUGAGAUAAGAUGUAUUUUUCCUGUUAGGUUUUAUACCGCACUCUCGAUGUCUGCCCAUUUUUAAGUUAAAUAUAGCUGUAUGGGAAAGUACAUUUUAUUAAAUUUUGCAUUAAAAAGUGAAAUGUUUAUGGUAUACCCAAAAAAAAAAAAAAAAAAAAGCGGCCGC
RNAcentral lists this unclassified non-coding RNA (193 nucleotides) under Gallus gallus (chicken). RNAcentral's name for it is "G.domesticus expressed sequence Tag". Lineage: Eukaryota; Metazoa; Chordata; Aves; Galliformes; Phasianidae. The record is from RNAcentral.